This 395-nucleotide ribosomal RNA is filed under the name uncultured Megasphaera sp. Its description in RNAcentral is "bacterial SSU rRNA". It matches the Rfam family "Bacterial small subunit ribosomal RNA", at positions 154 to 524 of the family's 1533-position model. The record is from RNAcentral. Lineage: Bacteria; Bacillati; Bacillota; Negativicutes; Veillonellales; Veillonellaceae.
GAACGGCUGCUAAUACCGAAUACGAUCUUUUCGUCGCAUGACGGAAAGAGAAAAGGAUGGCCUCUAUACAAAGCUAUCGCCGAAGGAGGGGUUUGCGUCUGAUUAGCUGGUUGGAGGGUAACGGCCCAACAAGGCGAUGAUCAGUAGCCCCGGUCUGAGAGGAUGAACGGCCACAUUGGGACUGAGACACGGCCCAGACUCCUACGGGGGGCAGCAGUGGGGAAUCUUCCGCAAUGGACGAAAGUCUGACGGAGCAACGCCGCGUGAGUGAAGAAGGUCUUCGGAUUGUAAAGCUCUGUUAUACGGGACGAAAAAGACGGAUGCCAACAGUAUCCGUCCGUGACGGUACCGUAAGAGAAAGCCACGGCUAACUACGUGCCAGCAGCCGCGGUAAU